GAUGAACGCUAGCGGAAGGCAUAAUACAUGCAAGUCGAACGGAUGUAGCAAUACAUUAGUGGCGCACGGGUGCGUAACGCGUAUGCAACCUACCUUCAUCAGGGGGAUAACUACUCGAAAGGGUGGCUAACAUCGCAUAAUACUACUGAAUGGCAUCAUUUGGUAUUUAAAUCUGAGGAGGAUGAAGAUGGGCAUGCGUCUGAUUAGCUAGUUGGUGUGGUAACGGCGCACCAAGGCGACGAUCAGUAGGGGAACUGAGAGGUUGGUCCCCCACACUGACACUGAGAUACGGGCCAGACUCCUACGGGAGGCAGCAGUAGGGAAUAUUGGUCAAUGGUGGGAACACUGAACCAGCCAUUCCGCGUGCAGGAAGAAGGGUCUCUGACUUGUAAACUGCUUUAGCAAGGGAAGAAAAAGCUCAUGCGUGAGAAAUUGACGGUACCUUGAGAAUAAGCACCGGCUAACUACGUGCCAGCCGCCGCGGUAA
RNAcentral lists this ribosomal RNA (487 nucleotides) under uncultured bacterium. RNAcentral's name for it is "partial 16S ribosomal RNA". It matches the Rfam family "Bacterial small subunit ribosomal RNA", at positions 28 to 523 of the family's 1533-position model. The record is from RNAcentral.